RNAcentral lists this long non-coding RNA (1940 nucleotides) under Salvia miltiorrhiza (redroot sage). RNAcentral's name for it is "long non-coding RNA (SMIL_LNC009734)". The record is from RNAcentral. Lineage: Eukaryota; Viridiplantae; Streptophyta; Magnoliopsida; Lamiales; Lamiaceae.
UAAUGUCUUAGUGGAUGUACUAAACAUACUUGAUUCAUCACGCCGGGUUUCCAAAAUUUAGUAAAUAAAUAAUUGAAAACUAAAUUCUUGAGUUAAGGACACCAACAAUAUCCUUACUCGAUUUUCUUAAAUAAUUGGAUUUAUAAAUAAACCAAUUAAAUCAUGAAUGCUUUCACUCACAAAAAUACUUGAUGCAAAUCAUUUCAUGCUUAAUCAUAUAUGCACAUAAUAAUAUUAAUAUUAUUCUGCAAAUCAUUCUUUAAAUUAAUUAAUUAAACUAAUGAUAGCUCAAUCAAUUAAUUAAAAUGAGGCAGCCCAAUGAUAUAUUAAAAUCAGGGCCCAAUAUUAUAAAUAAGCAGCCCAUUUAAUAAUAAUUCAGAGGCCCAAUUGAAAAAAUAAUUGAAGGGCCCAAACCUAAUUAAACCUAAAGCCCAAUUCUUCAUCUCUUUAAACACACACACACACACACACACGCACCACACAGCUGCGCCGCAGCAGGCACCCUCUCCCCCCCCUCCCCUCUCUUCUUCUCCGGCGGCGGUAGCAGCGCCGCCUCCGCCGCCCGACCGCCGUCGCCCUCUUGCUUCUCAAACCCUCCCAUGUCUCUCUCUUUCUCCCUCACGGCAGUACACACUCACACAAUGGACAACGUCGCGACCUUCUCCCUCAAAAUUUCCGGCGACAGCCACCACCACCAUGGCCGCCGCCGCGUUCUCGACUCCCUUGACGGCUGGAGAACCAACGCCACCCCUUUCUUCCUCUGAACAGGACAACGGCGGAGUCACCGCCGUCGACCGCACCUUCCAUCUCUCUCUCUCACCACUCAGCCCCAAAAACCAGAACCACCCCUUGACUCCCGGCGACCGCACGACCGAAAGGCCGCCGCCGCUAAGCUCAGCUAAAGCCCCCAGAUUUUCCGCCUGCCCCUCCUUUCUCUCUACGCGCCGAACGGACAGCAGUGAUGAACCGCCGCCGACCGCCGCGUCCCUCCCUCUCUAGGCCGAACAGUAGCAGCUCCCGCCACCACCGUCGCUCCCUUCCAUCUCCGACUUCACACUCACGAUAGAGACAACAUCACCGGCCCUCAAUCCACACAACAAAACAGUUCAAGACUCAACCUUUUCUUUUCUUUCUUCAUAAACAUGCUUCACAUAUAUGUAUGCAUAUGUAUUUUGUAAUGAAAUUGUCAUUUGUUCAUUCAAAUAUUUGCAUAUGUAUAUAUAAAAAGUAUACACAAUAUAUACACCGAAUGUAUGAGUAUUUUGCAACUAGAAGAAACUUGACAGUCAAAUGGUGUAAGGGAAAGAAUGGAAAAGAAUGAACCUUUGGAAUUAUAAGUUGAGGUGUGCGGCUGUUACUGUGAAAUUGAUGAAAAAUGUGAACUUGAUUUGCUUCCUAUUCUUAGUCGGGCUUGAUUUCUUGAAGGAGCAAGGUUGGCGGAUUCUUGUGAAAAUGAGAGAAUGAAACUUGGCUUGCAGUAUGAAUUUGGUUUGGCAAGGGAGUAGAGGAGUGUUGGGGAUGCCUCUGCCAAGCAUGGCUUAAAGUUGAAGUUAGUAGCUUAGCAUAGGCAUAGUGUAGGGUGGCUGAUGGGAUAGAUGAGUGUAAGUGAGUUGAGUGAGGAUUUGAUAUUUAAAAUCCCUCAGGAUUGAAUUAUCGAAACUGUAACAAUUCAUCAGGGUUCGCUAAAUAAAAAAUAUUUGUUUAAAUGCUCAAUGCUCAACUAUUCAAUUUAAAUAAAUAUGCAAUGCAUAAGAAUUUAAAUAAUUAAAUUUACAAAUAUUUUUUUUUGUAAAUCAUUUUUUGUUGGAAUUAAAAUAAACUCGUUUUUAUUCUCCAGCGUGAAUCGUCUCAUACUUCUAAGUUCAAAAUUUACUCUAAAUCUAGCUAGGGAAAAGCGGGGCGUUACAUCCCUCCCUCCUUAUAAAAAUUCCGUCCUCGAA